GGGGGCGUAGCUCAGCUGGUUAGAGCGUCUGCCUGUCACGCAGAAGGUCACGGGUUCGAGUCCCGCCGUCCCCG
This 74-nucleotide transfer RNA is filed under the name Candidatus Moraniibacteriota bacterium. RNAcentral describes it as "tRNA-Asp". It matches the Rfam family "tRNA". From Rfam's summary of the family: Transfer RNA (tRNA) molecules are approximately 80 nucleotides in length. Their secondary structure includes four short double-helical elements and three loops (D, anti-codon, and T loops). Lineage: Bacteria; Candidatus Moraniibacteriota. The record is from RNAcentral.